AUUGAACGCUGGCGGCAGGCCUAACACAUGCAAGUCGAGCGAGCGGCGGACGGGUGAGUAAUGUCUGGGAAACUGCCUGAUGGAGGGGGAUAACUACUGGAAACGGGAGAUAAUACCGCAUACCACAAGAGGGGCCCAGAGGGGAUUAGCUAGGAGGUUGGGUAACGGCUCACAUAGGCGACGAUCCCUAGCUGGUCUGAGAGGAUGACCAGCCACACUGGCACUGGGACACGGUCCAGCCUCCUCCGGGAGGCAGCAGGGGCGAAUAUUGCACAAUGGGCGCAAGCCUGAUGCAGCCAUGCCGCGUGUGUGAAGAAGGCCUUCGGGUUGUAAAGCACUUUCAGCGGGGAGGCGUUACCCGCAGAAGAAGCACCGGCUAACUCCGUGCCAGCAGCCGUGGUAAUAC
Molecule: ribosomal RNA, 406 nt
Filed under: uncultured bacterium
Lineage: Bacteria
Description: partial 16S ribosomal RNA
Rfam family: Bacterial small subunit ribosomal RNA
Source: RNAcentral